GAUGAACGCUGGCGGCGUGCCUAAUACAUGCAAGUCGAGCGAACAGACGAGGAGCUUGCUCCUCUGACGUUAGCGGCGGACGGGUGAGUAACGGUUGCAUAGCCACCUACUAGUACGGGGUGAAUUCCGGAAACCAGCGGUAACUACGGCCAAAUAAAUUAAACGGAUGGUUUCAUUGUAAAAUAAGGCUUUGCCGGCAUUUAUUAGCGGAUCCCCGCCGCAUUAGCUAGUUGGUUAGGUAACGGCCUACCAAGGCGACGAUGCGUAGCCGGCCUGAGAGGGUGAUCGGCCACACUGGAACUGAGACACGGUCCAGACUCCUACGGGAGGCAGCAGUAGGGAAUAUUCCGCAAUGGGCGAAAGCCUGACGGAGCAACGCCGCGUGAGUGAUGAAGGUCUUCGGAUCGUAAAACUCUGUUAUUAGGGAAGAACAAAUGUGUAAGUAACUAUGCACGUCUUGACGGUACCUAAACAGAAAGCCACGGCUAACUACGUG
This 496-nucleotide ribosomal RNA is filed under the name uncultured bacterium. RNAcentral describes it as "partial 16S ribosomal RNA". It matches the Rfam family "Bacterial small subunit ribosomal RNA", at positions 28 to 507 of the family's 1533-position model. The record is from RNAcentral.